UACGAGGUGUGCGAGCGUUGUUCGGAAUCACUGGGCAUAAAGGGUUCGUAGGCGGUUUUGUAAGUUGGUUGUGAAAUCCCUCGGCUUAACCGGGGAAUUGCUGCCACUACUGCAAGACUUGAGUGCGAAAGGGGCAACUGGAAUUCCAGGUGUAGCGGUGGAAUGCGUAGAUAUCUGGGAGAACGCCAAAGGCGAAGGCAGGUUGCUGGGUCGUAACUGACGCUGAUGAACGAAAGCUAGGGGAG
This 245-nucleotide ribosomal RNA is filed under the name uncultured bacterium. RNAcentral's name for it is "partial 16S ribosomal RNA". It matches the Rfam family "Bacterial small subunit ribosomal RNA", at positions 524 to 768 of the family's 1533-position model. The record is from RNAcentral.